RNAcentral lists this ribosomal RNA (620 nucleotides) under uncultured archaeon. Its description in RNAcentral is "bacterial SSU rRNA". It matches the Rfam family "Archaeal small subunit ribosomal RNA", at positions 377 to 999 of the family's 1478-position model. The record is from RNAcentral.
CAGUCCGAGUGAUUCCUGAUAAAGGAGUCUUUUGCUUGUCCUAAAAGCACAGGUGAAUAAGGGGUGGGCAAGUCUGGUGUCAGCCGCCGCGGUAAUACCAGCACCUCGAGUGGUCAGGACGUUUAUUGGGCCUAAAGCAUCCGUAGCCGGCUCUGCAAGUCUUCGGUUAAAUCCACCUGCUCAACAGAUGGGCUGCUGGAGAUACUACAGAGCUAGGGAGUGGGAGAGGCAGACGGUAUUCAGUGGGUAGGGGUAAAAUCCUCUGAUCCAUUGAGGACCACCAGUGGCGAAGGCGGUCUGCCAGAACACGUUCGACGGUGAGGGAUGAAAGCUGGGGGAGCAAACCGGAUUAGAUACCCGGGUAGUCCCAGCUGUAAACGAUGCAAACUCGGUGAUGCAUUGGCUUAUGGCCAAUGCAGUGCCGCAGGGAAGCCGUUAAGUUUGCCGCCUGGGAAGUACGGACGCAAGUCUGAAACUUAAAGGAAUUGGCGGGGGAGCACCACAAGGGGUGAAGCCUGCGGUUCAAUUGGAGUCAACGCCAGGAAUCUUACCCGGGGAGACAGCAGAAUGAAGGUCAAGCUGAAGACUUUACCAGACAAGCUGAGAGGUGGUGCAUGGCC